AGCAAUAGAAUAGGAAACUUAAGGGUGGUCAGCUCAUCCCCAAAUGAAAGGGGGUGGUGCUGUGACGGUAUUCGAAGCAUUAAUGUUUGCAUGUACGUUUGCAAGCUUAGUCAUUGCGAUAUUGUCAUUUAACCAAAGAAAAUAAUCCACCCUUAAGCUUGGAGGCAUAGGUGGAUUAUUCCCAUCUUAAAGCUGUCCCCCUUGAAGGGAACCUUCUAUUGCACUGACCGUUGGUGUUCGAGCACCAGCG
Molecule: small RNA, 250 nt
Filed under: Mesobacillus campisalis
Lineage: Bacteria; Bacillati; Bacillota; Bacilli; Caryophanales; Bacillaceae
Description: Bacillus campisalis BsrG
Rfam family: BsrG
About the family: bsrE, bsrG and bsrH pair through intermolecular interactions with antisense sRNAs.
Source: Rfam by way of RNAcentral